UACGGAGGGUGCAAGCGUUAUCCGGAUUCACUGGGUUUAAAGGGUGCGUAGGUGGGUUGGUAAGUCAGUGGUGAAAUCUCCGGGCUUAACCUGGAAACUGCCAUUGAUACUAUCAAUCUUGAAUACCUUGGAGGUGAGCGGAAUAUGUCAUGUAGCGGUGAAAUGCUUAGAUAUGACAUAGAACACCAAUUGCGAAGGCAGCUCACUACACAAUUAUUGACGCUGAGGCACGAAAGCGUGGGGAUCAAACAGG
This 253-nucleotide ribosomal RNA is filed under the name uncultured bacterium. Its description in RNAcentral is "partial 16S ribosomal RNA". It matches the Rfam family "Bacterial small subunit ribosomal RNA", at positions 524 to 776 of the family's 1533-position model. The record is from RNAcentral.